RNAcentral lists this ribosomal RNA (301 nucleotides) under uncultured bacterium. RNAcentral describes it as "partial 16S ribosomal RNA". It matches the Rfam family "Bacterial small subunit ribosomal RNA", at positions 509 to 809 of the family's 1533-position model. The record is from RNAcentral.
CAGUCGCCGCGGGAAUACGGAGGGUGCAAGCGUUAAUCGGAAUUACUGGGCGUAAAGCGCACGCAGGCGGUUUGUUAAGUCAGAUGUGAAAUCCCCGAGCUUAACUUGGGAACUGCAUUUGAAACUGUCAGGCUGGAGUCUUGUAGAGGGGGGUGGAAUUCCAGGUGUAGCGGUGAAAUGCGUAGAGAUCUGGAGGAAUACCGGUGGCGAAGGCGGCCCCCUGGACAAAGACUGACGCUCAGGUGCGAAAGCGUGGGGAGCAAACAGGAUUAGAUACCCCGGUAGUCCCUGUCUCUUAUAA